CACAAUGUAGUCCUUUAAAUUUAAAAUUAAGAGUCUUGUUUAGGGAGAUUUUCUCCCUUAGUUUUUAUAUGUAGGUCAAUUAGCCAAAUCAUAUAAUAAAAUUAUGUUCUUAGUAUUGUUUUUCGUUGUCAUCUUGUUUAUCGUCUCAUAGUUUGCAACUAAUAGCUUCCGCAUGACGCCCUCUCAAUUUCGAACCCAACAAGUGGAAUCAGAGCUUAUGGUUCAAUGGUCCAAUGGUGUGUUGAGACGAGAUUAAAUAGGUUCAAAGCAGUUUCAAAACAAGCUGCAACCAAUUUGAUGAUAAUGAAGAUAUAUGUCCAAAAGUUACAUGUGGAGAUAAUUGUCAAUCAUAUUUUCAACAAUCUUGCUGUCACAUAUUUGAAAAUAAAGCUUACUUUUAACCCUGCAAAAGGGCUCUAAUAUUUUUAACCCGAAAAGGGCUAAUAUAUUUUUUGACCCCAAAAACUCCAUUUUUAAACAUGUCAAACAACAGUGAUAUAUGAAGAAUAUAUAUGAAGAACGAAGAUCAUGCACAAGAAGAAGGAGGAUCAAGAAUAUUUUGAAGAAAAUUAAGCCAAAAAGGGGAGAUUUGUUAGGGUUUUUGUCCUGAUUUUCUUACUAUAUUUAAGUUUUACUUUUUCUUAGAAGGAAAAUAAAAGUUAUAAUAAUUACUUUUACUUUUUCUGAAAGAAAAAAUAUAAUUCUUUUCCAUAUUUGGCUAAUCUCUUCUUUGGAGGAAAGGUUUUGGACAUCUAUAACCAGAAGAUCCUUUCUCAUACCAUAACAUAAUAGCAUCCCCAAUGUAGUCCUUUAAAUUUAAAUUUAAGAGACUCCCAAAUAGUUUUUAUAUUUUCUUUAAUAUUAGUUUUUAUAUGUAGGCCAAUUGGCCAAAUCAUAUAAUAAAAUUAUAUUUUUAGUAUUAUUUUUCGUUGUCAUCUUAUUUAUCGUCUCAUAAUUUGCAACUAAUUGCUUCCGCAUGACUCCUCUCUCGAUUUCCAACCCAACAUUUACUAUGCAUCCCUUCCAUCUGCAUACUGGAACAACUACGUACCGUAUUGCUUUACAGGUCAUUACAUAGCCUUCUACCUUUUCCUUUGCAUUCCUUUUCCAAAAUCUUUCAUUUCAUCCUUUGUAAAUGUUCUUAGAGCUACAAUUUCUCCUGCAUUUUCGUUGGACAUAUUUUGUCAAAACAAAAAAAGGGCAAUCAAUCAGAAAAAAGAAAAAAAAUAUGAAAAUAGUGAAUCAAGAUCUAGAUGGAUUCCUAUAUUUAUCUCUAUCCAUGAAGAUACAUAUACAUAUGGAGAGAGAUCUACAUAUGAAUCGGCCUAGACUAUCCUCUAUCUGGAUAGAUAUGUCCGUAUGAGGGACUACACCAAUAUUUAUAUGUUUUGGCCACGUCCCUUUCCGCUCCGAAGAAGAAGGUUUGGAUCUUUCAAUCUUUUGUCGUGAGGUAUAUGACCCUUCUUCUGAGUCUAUGCACUUCUGCUUAGUAUGUCGUUUAUAUGCUUCAAAAUAAGCCAAAGACCCCUUUUUUUGUUCUUCUUUUGCCUGCGCACCAAUCCAGGGGCUAAGGGACCCAAUUCUUAAGACUCAAUAUGCGAAAAAAUCAUAGUUAAAUAAGUGAGAGCUGUAAGGUCCAAAUGAAGCUAUAAUCCACAGGACUGGCCGGGGCAUUUCUGAUUUUUACUUGGGAUUCUAUGUUGGAGAUUUUAUGAUGGUUUAAAAUUUGAUGCUAGCUUUUUAUGGGGUUUCCCCAAGCGAAAUGAAAGUGGUGCAACACUAUUCGAUAUGUCUACAUUUUCUGAAUGCUAUUGAAUUUCCACGUUGAGAUGUCAAUUGUUGUUAUAAGGAUUUGAUGUUGUCUUGGCUCCUGAAAAGAUAUGAUGUCUUAACUGGUUUAUAUGUUCCAAGAUGAAGAACUAGAUUAAAGUUUGGGAACUUGUUGGCUGUGAGCCUUAUUAUUGAGUACGUUUAUCCAUACAACAACAACAUACCCAAUGUAUUGCCACAAAGUACGUUUAUCCAUAUAUAUAUUUAAUUUUUUUUUCUAUCCUACUAAUUAAAAGUUGUUUUGUUUACGUUGAUAUGCAACAUGGUUCAUUUCUGUAUGAGAGCAUGUUAAUUCCAAAUAUGGAUGUGCAAAUACUGGUUAAUAAUUUGAUCUAGAGUUUGGUUCCUACUGUUGUAUAUUCCCUCUAAAAAUUUGUUUAUUUUGUGCUAAUAAUGUAUGCAUACUUGCCUUUUGUUGUGUUGCC
Molecule: long non-coding RNA, 2255 nt
Filed under: Capsicum annuum
Lineage: Eukaryota; Viridiplantae; Streptophyta; Magnoliopsida; Solanales; Solanaceae
Description: long non-coding RNA (CANN_LNC016822)
Source: RNAcentral